This 506-nucleotide ribosomal RNA is filed under the name uncultured bacterium. RNAcentral's name for it is "partial 16S ribosomal RNA". It matches the Rfam family "Bacterial small subunit ribosomal RNA", at positions 28 to 523 of the family's 1533-position model. The record is from RNAcentral.
GAUGAACGCUAGCUACAGGCUUAACACAUGCAAGCCGAGGGGUAACGAGAGGAAAGCUUGCUUUCCUUGUCGACGACCGGCGCACGGGUGAGUAACGCGUAUCCAACCUGCCCCCAACUAAGGAAUAACCUUGCGAAAGUAAGACUAAUACCUUAUAAUUUCCUCAGAUGACAUCUGACGAGGAAUAAAGAUUUAUCGGUUGUGGAUGGGGAUGCGUCUGAUUAGCUUGUUGGCGGGGUAACGGCCCACCAAGGCAACGAUCAGUAGGGGUUCUGAGAGGAAGGUCCCCCACAUUGGAACUGAGACACGGUCCAAACUCCUACGGGAGGCAGCAGUGAGGAAUAUUGGUCAAUGGGCGAAGGCCUGAACCAGCCAAGUAGCGUGCAGGAUGACGGCCCUAUGGGUUGUAAACUGCUUUCAUACAGGAAUAAAGUUAGCCACGUGUGGUUAUUUGUAGGUACUGUAUGAAUAAGGACCGGCUAAUUCCGUGCCAGCAGCCGCAGUAA